UGGCGGACGGGUGAGUAAUGUCUGGGGAACUGCCCGAUGGAGGGGGAUAACUACUGGAAACGGUAGCUAAUACCGCAUAACGUCGCAAGACCAAAGAGGGGGACCUCCGGGCCUCGCGCCAUCAGAUGAACCCAUAUGGGACUAGCUUGUAGGUAAGGUAACGGCUUACCUAGGCGACGAUCCCUAGCUGGUCUGAGAGGAUGAUCAGCCACACUGGGACUGAGACACGGCCCAG
RNAcentral lists this ribosomal RNA (235 nucleotides) under uncultured bacterium. Its description in RNAcentral is "partial 16S ribosomal RNA". It matches the Rfam family "Bacterial small subunit ribosomal RNA", at positions 96 to 334 of the family's 1533-position model. The record is from RNAcentral.